UUUAAUUGAAGAGUUUGAUCAUGGCUCAGAUUGAACGCUGGCGGCAGGCCUAACACAUGCAAGUCGAACGGUAAC
This 75-nucleotide ribosomal RNA is filed under the name Cronobacter sakazakii. RNAcentral describes it as "partial 16S ribosomal RNA". It matches the Rfam family "Bacterial small subunit ribosomal RNA", at positions 1 to 73 of the family's 1533-position model. Lineage: Bacteria; Pseudomonadati; Pseudomonadota; Gammaproteobacteria; Enterobacterales; Enterobacteriaceae. The record is from RNAcentral.